RNAcentral lists this ribosomal RNA (568 nucleotides) under uncultured bacterium. RNAcentral's name for it is "partial 16S ribosomal RNA". It matches the Rfam family "Bacterial small subunit ribosomal RNA", at positions 355 to 1375 of the family's 1533-position model. The record is from RNAcentral.
UGGGGAAUAUUGGACAAUGGGCGGAAGCCUGAUCCAGCAACGCCGCGUGAGGGAUGACGGCCUUCGGGUUGUAAACCUCUUUCAGCACAGACGAAGCGCAAGUGACGGUAUGUGCAGAAGAAGGACCGGCCAACUACGUGCCAGCAGCCGCGGUAAUACGUAGGGUCCGAGCGUUGUCCGGAAUUAUUGGGCGUAAAGGGCUCGUAGGCGGUUUGUCGCGUCGGGAGUGAAAACACCGGGCUUAACUCGGUGCUUGCUUUCGAUACGGGCAGACUAGAGGCAUUCAGGGGAGAACGGAAUUCCUGGUGUAGCGGUGAAAUGCGCAGAUAUCAGGAGGAACACCGGUGGCGAAGGCGGUUCUCUGGGAAUGUCCUGACGCUGAGGAGCGAAAGUGUGGGGAGCGAACAGGAUUAGAUACCCUGGUAGUCUACACCGUAAACGUUGGGCGCUAGGUGUGGGAUCCAUUCCACGGGUUCCGUGCCGCAGCUAACGCAUUAAGCGCCCCGCCUGGGGAGUACGGCCGCAAGGCUAAAACUCAAAUGAAUUGACGGGGUCAUAGCUGUUUCCU